UGGGGAAUCUUGCGCAAUGCGCGAAAGCGUGACGCAGCAACGCCGCGUGGGGGAAGACGGCCUUCGGGUUGUAAACCCCUUUCAGGAGGGACGAAGGUCAGGCCGUUAAUAGCGGUCCUGACUGACGGUACCUCCAGAAGAAGCCCCGGCUAACUACGUGCCAGCAGCCGCGGUAAUACGUAGGGGGCAAGCGUUGUCCGGAAUUAUUGGGCGUAAAGAGCGCGUAGGCGGUCCGAUAAGUCGGCUGUGAAAGUCCAGGGCUCAACCCUGGAAAGCCGGCCGAUACUGUCGGACUAGAGUCCGGAAGAGGCAAGUGGAAUUCCCGGUGUAGCGGUGAAAUGCGCAGAUAUCGGGAGGAACACCAAUGGCGAAGGCAGCUUGCUGGGACGGUACUGACGCUGAGGCGCGAAAGCGUGGGGAGCAAACAGGAUUAGAUACCCCUGUAGUCC
This 449-nucleotide ribosomal RNA is filed under the name uncultured bacterium. RNAcentral's name for it is "bacterial SSU rRNA". It matches the Rfam family "Bacterial small subunit ribosomal RNA", at positions 355 to 796 of the family's 1533-position model. The record is from RNAcentral.